This is a long non-coding RNA of Hyaena hyaena (striped hyena), 476 nucleotides long. RefSeq lists it as uncharacterized. The record is from RefSeq and is a predicted model, not a curated record. Lineage: Eukaryota; Metazoa; Chordata; Mammalia; Carnivora; Hyaenidae. The transcript is spliced from 3 exons.
ACCAGCCAUGGCUGACCUCGGGCAACUGAACCUGAAGACAGCAAAACUGUGAAUGAGGGGUAGUCACUGUACUGUUAUCGGGAUUAUAACUUAACAGCUGAGUUUGAGGAAAAGUCUGUUUUUAGGAACAACAACAAAAAGCCCAAUGUUUCUUGUGUAAACAGACUUUUCUCCAGGUAAAGGAAUCUGUGAGUCCUGGAACCAGCGGCUCCCCACUACCCAGCCUCAAUCCCCUUCUUUCUGGAGCAUGGGAGGCCUUUUUGAGCAGGCCUGACUAUAAAACAGGUCGCCUACCAAGCGUGGCUGUUGGGAUGUCAGGACCAGAGUAGAGAAGAGGAUUCCUCAGCUUUGCCAUCUCUGAACCCAAUUUGGACCAGGAAGAAGCUUGAGCCAGCCUAGCCACCUGUACCAGCCCUUUGACCUUCCUGAUGUAGACAUUCCAAAAACAACAUGUGUGCAUGCCAGUGCCCACACAA